This 446-nucleotide ribosomal RNA is filed under the name uncultured bacterium. RNAcentral describes it as "partial 16S ribosomal RNA". It matches the Rfam family "Bacterial small subunit ribosomal RNA", at positions 338 to 795 of the family's 1533-position model. The record is from RNAcentral.
CCUACGGGUGGCAGCAGUCGAGAAUCAUUCACAAUGGGGGAAACCCUGAUGGUGCGACGCCGCGUGAGGGAGUGAAGGUCUUCGGAUUGUAAACCCCUGUCGUAUGGGAGCAAAUUAAAGAGAUAGUACCACAAGACGACGAGACGGCUAACUCUAUGCCAGCAGCCGCGGUAAUACAGAGGACUGAAGCGCGGUUCGGAUUGACUGGGAGUAAAGGGUGCGUAGGCUGAUACGUAAGUCGUGAGUGAAAGGCGAGGGCUCAACCCGGGGACUGCAAAUGAUACUGCGAGACUAGAGUAAUGGAGGGGGAAGAGGAAUUCUUGGUGUAGCAGUGAAAUGCGUAGAUAUCGAGAGGAACACUCGUGGCGAAGGCGGGUUCCUGGACAUUAACUGACGCUGAGGCACGAAGGCCAGGGGAGCGAAAGGGAUUAGAUACCCCUGUAGUC